GCCUACGGCCACACCACCCUGAAAGCACCCGAUCUCUGAAGUGAUACAGGGCCGGGCCUGGUUAGUACCUGGAUGGGAGACCGCCUGGGAAUACCAGGUGUUGUAGGCU
Molecule: ribosomal RNA, 109 nt
Filed under: Xenopus laevis (African clawed frog)
Lineage: Eukaryota; Metazoa; Chordata; Amphibia; Anura; Pipidae
Source: RNAcentral